RNAcentral lists this ribosomal RNA (482 nucleotides) under uncultured bacterium. Its description in RNAcentral is "partial 16S ribosomal RNA". It matches the Rfam family "Bacterial small subunit ribosomal RNA", at positions 28 to 523 of the family's 1533-position model. The record is from RNAcentral.
GACGAACGCUGGCGGCGUGCUUAACACAUGCAAGUCGAACGAUGAACCCGGAGCUUGCUCCGGCGGAUUAGUGGCGAACGGGUGAGUAACACGUGAGUAACCUGCCCUUGACUCUGGGAUAACUGCUAGAAAUGGUAGCUAAUACCGGAUACGACCCUCGGUGGCAUCCAGGGGGUGGAAAGAAUUUCGGUCAAGGAUGGACUCGCGGCCUAUCAGCUAGUUGGUGAGGUAACGGCUCACCAAGGCGACGACGGGUAGCCGGCCUGAGAGGGUGACCGGCGACACUGGGACUGAGACACGGCCCAGACUCCUACGGGAGGCAGCAGUGGGGAAUAUUGCACAAUGGGCGCAAGCCUGAUGCAGCGACGCCGCGUGAGGGAUGACGGCCUUCGGGUUGUAAACCUCUUUCAGCACCGACGAAGCGCAAGUGACGGUAGGUGCAGAAGAAGGACCGGCCAACUACGUGCCAGCCGCCGCGGUAA